AUUGAACGCUAGCGGCAUGCCUUACACAUGCAAGUCGAACGGCAGCACGGGUGCUUGCACCUGGUGGCGAGUGGCGAACGGGUGAGUAAUACAUCGGAACGUACCUUAUCGUGGGGGAUAACGCAGCGAAAGCUGUGCUAAUACCGCAUACGCCCUGAGGGGGAAAGCGGGGGAUCGAAAGACCUCGCGCGAUUAGAGCGGCCGAUGCCUGAUUAGCUUGUUGGUGGGGUAAAAGCCCACCAAGGCGACGAUCAGUAGCUGGUCUGAGAGGACAAUCAGCCACACUGGGACUGAGACACGGCCCAGACUCCUACGGGAGGCAGCAGUGGGGAAUUUUGGACAAUGGGGGCAACCCUGAUCCAGCAAUGCCGCGUGAGUGAAGAAGGCCUUCGGGUUGUAAAGCUCUUUUGUCAGGGAAGAAACACCGGCUCUAACACAGUCCGGGAAUGACGGUACCUGAAGAAUAAGCACCGGCUAACUACGUGCCAGCAGCCGCAGUAA
RNAcentral lists this ribosomal RNA (501 nucleotides) under uncultured bacterium. RNAcentral's name for it is "partial 16S ribosomal RNA". It matches the Rfam family "Bacterial small subunit ribosomal RNA", at positions 30 to 523 of the family's 1533-position model. The record is from RNAcentral.